Molecule: long non-coding RNA, 904 nt
Organism: Herpailurus yagouaroundi (jaguarundi)
Lineage: Eukaryota; Metazoa; Chordata; Mammalia; Carnivora; Felidae
Exons: 2
Source: RefSeq, a predicted model, not a curated record
CAAUAGGGAAGGAGAAGUCCUGAGGCGUGAAGGAGGGGCCACCAGGGAAAAAACGAAGGGCCCCUAGGGAAUGAAUGAGAGGUCCUGUAGUACUUUAACGUCUUUGCCACUAUGUGUCUGGAAGUGUACCAAGGCAGAGGCCGUUGAAAAUCCUCCCGGUCAACAGAAGGCAACAAACCCACACCACUGGCAGAGCACCUACUAGGUGGUGGAGCACCUGCUAGGUGGUGAACCUUGCACUGCCUGCCAGGGUAAAAUGGAAGAAGCCAUCCAGGGAGCUCACGUCCUGGAGUCUCCGGAGGAGACUGGACCAUAUUGCCAGAUGGUACCCGGAAGAAUGGAAAGCAGCGUCUCAAAGAGACAUCUCUACACCACGCUCAGAGCACCGUGAUUCACAGUGGCUGAAAGGCAGAAACGAGUCAAGUGUCCAACGACGGAUGAAUGGAGAGGACAAAACGUGACCGAGCCAUACGAUAGAGUAUCACGCAGCCCUAAAAAAGAAGGAAGUUCCAACACACGCUGCGAGGUGGAUGAACGUUGAGGACAUUAUGCGAAGUGAAAUAAACCCGUCACAAAAGGACAAACACUGCAUGACUUCACUCGCAUGAGGUCCCUAGAGUCAUCAAACUCAGAGACGGAAAGCAGAAUGGUGGCUGCAGGCACCGGGGUGGCGGGGGGCGGCGGGGGGCGGCGGGGGAGAAGCCUGGGGAGAUUGUGUUUAAUGUGGACAGGGUUUCAGUUUGGGGAGAUGGAAAAGUUCCGGAGGUGGAUGGUGGGGACGGUUACUUAUGCCUCUCCACCUCACACCAAUGGUUAAAAUGGCAAAUAUUAUGUUAUAUAGAUUUUAAAAAGGAAAUGGAAAAUAAAAAGCACCUCCCCACAUGAGCACAUUGUAUGGUCCCUC